GAAUAUUUAAAAAAACUGGAAUUUAAUAAACUAUUAGGUUACACAUUACUUAAUUAAUAAAAUAUGUAUAUUUAUUUUAAUUAUAAAAUAUACUAAUAACUAAGAUGGUUUGAAUUCUAGCAAGUAUUAUUAUAUUAGUGCACAAAUAUUAAAAAAUAUAAGAAAUAUUUAUUACUUUUUAAUUUAUAAUAUUUA
This 195-nucleotide transfer RNA is filed under the name Pneumocystis jirovecii. Its description in RNAcentral is "tRNA-Pseudo(ATT)". Lineage: Eukaryota; Fungi; Ascomycota; Pneumocystomycetes; Pneumocystales; Pneumocystaceae. The record is from RNAcentral.